CCUACGGGUGGCAGCAGUGGGGGAUAUUGCACAAUGGGGGAAACCCUGAUGCAGCGACGCCGCGUGAGCGAAGAAGUAUCUCGGUAUGUAAAGCUCUAUCAGCAGGGAAGAAAAUGACGGUACCUGACUAAGAAGCCCCGGCUAACUACGUGCCAGCAGCCGCGGUAAUACGUAGGGGGCAAGCGUUAUCCGGAUUUACUGGGUGUAAAGGGAGCGUAGGCGGCGGGGUAAGUCUGAAGUGAAAGCCCGGGGCUCAACCCCGGGACGGCAUUGGAAACUGUCGUGCUGGAGUGUGGGAGGGGUAAGCGGAAUUCCUAGUGUAGCGGUGAAAUGCGUAGAUAUUAGGAGGAACACCAGGGGCGAAGGCGGCUUACUGGACGACAACUGACGCUGAGGCUCGAAAGCGUGGGGAGCAAACAGGAUUAGAUACCCCAGUAGUC
This 440-nucleotide ribosomal RNA is filed under the name uncultured bacterium. RNAcentral describes it as "partial 16S ribosomal RNA". It matches the Rfam family "Bacterial small subunit ribosomal RNA", at positions 338 to 795 of the family's 1533-position model. The record is from RNAcentral.